AUACGUAGGGUGCAAGCGUUAAUCGGAAUUACUGGGCGUAAAGCGUGCGCAGGCGGUUUUGUAAGACAGUGGUGAAAUCCCCGGGCUCAACCUGGGAACUGCCAUUGUGACUGCAGGGCUGGAGUGCGGCAGAGGGGGAUGGAAUUUCGCGCGUAGCAGUGAAAUGCGUAGAUAUGCGGAGGAACACCGAUGGCGAAGGCAAUCCCCUGGGCCUGCACUGACGCUCAUGCACGAAAGCGUGGGGAGCAAACAGGAUUAGAUACCCUGGUAGUCAACGCCCUAAACGAUGUCAACUGGUUGUUGGGGAUUUAUUUUCUCAGUAACGAAGCUAACGCGUGAAGUUGACCGCCUGGGGAGUACGGCCGCAAGGUAAAAACUCAAAGGAAUUGACGGGG
This 395-nucleotide ribosomal RNA is filed under the name uncultured bacterium. RNAcentral's name for it is "partial 16S ribosomal RNA". It matches the Rfam family "Bacterial small subunit ribosomal RNA", at positions 523 to 918 of the family's 1533-position model. The record is from RNAcentral.